AUGUUAAUGCUCCAUAGCAGAGAGUUUAGGUUUACAGCAAGCAGCGACUACCAAAUUUUGCAUGUAGGAUAUAAACGAGAAAUUGUAAUGGAGAUGGUUGCCAUCAGUUCCAUUUUGUUGCACAUCUCAAGCCUUGCCACUCUGAUCGUCGCACUGGCCAGAUCCGGCCGGGGGAGCCGCCAUAGAGCCGACACAUCAGCGGCACAGCAGCAGCCCGACAGAAGGUGGGUGCUCGAGCUCAUCCAGCAGCUCGUCAUCGACCAGGAGGCCUCUACCUCGACUGCAACCGUCCGUGGAUCUCUAUUCUGCAUGGAUUGGCGAUAUUAUUUUGGCUUGGAUUCAAUGGGGCAAUCUGGCGAUAUGAGUAUUUGUACAAACCUCCGAGGACCUCAAGUUCACAUGGUUCAUGCUUCUUUACGUAUGAACUCUACAUAUGACAACCAGCAGAUCAAUUGUUUCAGGCCUGAUGAGUAUCAAGCAGAUUGGGUUCUCCAAGGAAUGCCAAUACGAAUUCACUUUUUGCAACACACAUGCUCAGCCAAUUGGGCAGCCAGCUGGGAGGUAGACAGUACCUUUUUCCUCUUUCACAAAUAA
This 594-nucleotide ribosomal RNA is filed under the name Triticum aestivum (bread wheat). Its description in RNAcentral is "partial small subunit ribosomal RNA". The record is from RNAcentral. Lineage: Eukaryota; Viridiplantae; Streptophyta; Magnoliopsida; Poales; Poaceae.